UGCGUAGGCGGAAUGAUAAGUUAGUGGUGAAAGCCCCCGGCUCAACCGGGGAACUGCCAUUAAUACUGUCAUUCUUGAGUAUAGUUGAAGUGGGCGGAAUGUAUCAUGUAGCGGUGAAAUGCUUAGAUAUGAUACAGAACACCGAUAGCGUAGGCAGCUUGCUAAACUAUCACUGACGCUCAGGCACGAAAGCGUGGGGAGCAAACAGGAUUAGAUACCCUGGUAGUCC
RNAcentral lists this ribosomal RNA (229 nucleotides) under uncultured bacterium. RNAcentral's name for it is "partial 16S ribosomal RNA". It matches the Rfam family "Bacterial small subunit ribosomal RNA", at positions 568 to 796 of the family's 1533-position model. The record is from RNAcentral.